CACCGGCGGCUCGAGUGGUAACCGCUAUUAUUGGGUCUAAAGGGUCUGUAGCCGGCCGAAUAAGUCCCUUGGGAAAUCUGGCAGCUUAACUGUCAGGCCUUCAGGGGAUACUGUUUGGCUUGGGACCGGGAGAGGUGAGAGGUACCUCAGGGGUAGGGGUGAAAUCUUGUAAUCCUUGAGGGACCACCAGUGGCGAAGGCGUCUCACCAGAACGGAUCCGACGGCAAGGGACGAAAGCUAGGGGCACGAACCGGAUUAGAUACCCCCGUAGUCC
RNAcentral lists this ribosomal RNA (274 nucleotides) under uncultured archaeon. Its description in RNAcentral is "partial 16S ribosomal RNA". It matches the Rfam family "Archaeal small subunit ribosomal RNA", at positions 474 to 747 of the family's 1478-position model. The record is from RNAcentral.